GUUGUAUAGUCAAGUAAUUAAGUGCAUGUGGUGGAUGCCUUGGCAGUCAGAGGCGAUGAAAGACGUGAUAGCCUGCGAAAAGCUCCGGGGAGGCGGCAAAUAUCCUUUGAUCCGGAGAUGUCUGAAUGGGGGAACCCACCUACUUUAAGGUAGGUAUUGCAACAUGAAUACAUAGUGUUGCAAGGCGAACGAGGGGAAGUGAAACAUCUCAGUACCCUUAGGAAAAGAAAUCAAUUGAGAUUCCCUCAGUAGCGGCGAGCGAACGGGGAUCAGCCCAUUAAGUUAUGUGUGUUUUAGUGGAACGCUCUGGGAAGUGCGAACGUAGAGGGUGAUAUUCCCGUACACGAAAGGGCACACAUAAUGAUGACGAGUAGGGCGAGGCACGUGAAACCUUGUCUGAAUAUGGGGGGACCAUCCUCCAAGGCUAAAUACUCCUGACUGACCGAUAGUGAACCAGUACCGUGAGGGAAAGGCGAAAAGAACCCCUGUGAGGGGAGUGAAAUAGAUCCUGAAACCGCAUGCAUACAAGCAGUGGGAGCACCUUCGUGGUGUGACUGCGUACCUUUUGUAUAAUGGGUCAGCGACUUAUAUUCAGUAGCGAGGUUAACCGUAUAGGGGAGCCGUAGAGAAAUCGAGUCUUAAUAGGGCGUUUAGUUGCUGGGUAUAGACCCGAAACCAGGCGAUCUAUCCAUGAGCAGGUUGAAGGUUGGGUAACACUAACUGGAGGACCGAACCCACUGUCGUUGAAAAGCCAGGGGAUGACUUGUGGAUAGGGGUGAAAGGCUAAUCAAGCCUGGUGAUAGCUGGUUCUCCCCGAAAGCUAUUUAGGUAGCGCCUCGGACGAAUACCAUAGGGGGUAGAGCACUGUUUCGGCUAGGGGGUCAUCCCGACUUACCAAACCGAUGCAAACUCCGAAUACCUAUGAGUACUAUCCGGGAGACAGACUGCGGGUGCUAACGUCCGUAGUCAAGAGGAAAACAAUCCAGACCGCCAGCUAAGGCCCCAAAAUCAUAGUUAAGUGGGAAACGAUGUGGGAAGGCAUAGACAGCUAGGAGGUUGGCUUAGAAGCAGCCACCCUUUAAAGAAAGCGUAAUAGCUCACUAGUCGAGUCGGCCUGCGCGGAAGAUGUAACGGGGCUAAAACUAUGUGCCGAAGCUGCGGAUGUAUACUUUGUAUACGUGGUAGGGGAGCGUUCUGUAAGCCGAUGAAGGUGUGUUGAGAAGCAUGCUGGAGGUAUCAGAAGUGCGAAUGCUGACGUGAGUAACGACAAAACGGGUGAAAAACCCGUUCGCCGAAAGACCAAGGGUUCCAGUCCAACGUUAAUCGGGGCUGGGUGAGUCGACCCCUAAGGCGAGGCCGAAAGGCGUAGUCGAUGGGAAAAUGGUUAAUAUUCCAUUACUUCUGUGUAAUGCGAUGAGAGGACGGAGAAGGCUAAAUCAGCCUGGCGUUGGUUGUCCAGGUGAAAGGAUGUAGGCAUGUAUCUUAGGCAAAUCCGGGGUACUCUAUGCUGAGAUCUGAUAGCAAGCUGUACUUGUACAGCGAAGUGGUUGAUGCCAUGCUUCCAGGAAAAGUCUCUAAGCUUCAGUUACACAGGAAUCGUACCCGAAACCGACACAGGUGGUCAGGUCGAGUAGACCAAGGCGCUUGAGAGAACUCUGCUGAAGGAACUAGGCAAAAUGGUACCGUAACUUCGGGAGAAGGUACGCUGUUGUUGGUGAUGGAACUCGCUUCCUGAGCUGACGACAGCCGCAGAAACCAGGCCGCUGCAACUGUUUAUUAAAAACAUAGCACUCUGCAAACACGAAAGUGGACGUAUAGGGUGUGAUGCCUGCCCGGUGCUGGAAGGUUAAUUGAUGGGGUUAGCGUAAGCGAAGCUCUUGAUCGAAGCCCCAGUAAACGGCGGCCGUAACUAUAACGGUCCUAAGGUAGCGAAAUUCCUUGUCGGGUAAGUUCCGACCUGCACGAAUGGCAUAAUGAUGGCGGCGCUGUCUCCAGCAGAGGCUCAGUGAAAUCGAAAUCGCUGUGAAGAUGCAGUGUACCCGCGGCUAGACGGAAAGACCCCGUGAACCUUUACUGCAGCUUGACACUGAACUUUGACCUUACUUGUGUAGGAUAGGUGGGAGGCUUUGAAGCUGGAACGCUAGUUCCAGUGGAGCCGUCCUUGAAAUACCACCCUGGUAAUGUUGAGGUUCUAACUCUGUCCCGUGAUCCGGGACGAGGACCGUGUCUGGUGGGUAGUUUGACUGGGGCGGUCUCCUCCUAAAGAGUAACGGAGGAGUACGAAGGUGCGCUCAGCGUGGUCGGAAAUCACGCGUAGAGUAUAAAGGCAAAAGCGCGCUUAACUGCGAGACCCACAAGUCGAGCAGGUACGAAAGUAGGUCUUAGUGAUCCGGUGGUUCUGUAUGGAAGGGCCAUCGCUCAACGGAUAAAAGGUACUCUGGGGAUAACAGGCUGAUACCGCCCAAGAGUUCAUAUCGACGGCGGUGUUUGGCACCUCGAUGUCGGCUCAUCUCAUCCUGGGGCUGAAGCAGGUCCCAAGGGUAUGGCUGUUCGCCAUUUAAAGAGGU
RNAcentral lists this ribosomal RNA (2567 nucleotides) under Acinetobacter baumannii. RNAcentral's name for it is "bacterial LSU rRNA". It matches the Rfam family "Bacterial large subunit ribosomal RNA", at positions 1 to 2597 of the family's 2925-position model. Lineage: Bacteria; Pseudomonadati; Pseudomonadota; Gammaproteobacteria; Moraxellales; Moraxellaceae. The record is from RNAcentral.